RNAcentral lists this ribosomal RNA (444 nucleotides) under uncultured bacterium. RNAcentral's name for it is "SSU rRNA". It matches the Rfam family "Bacterial small subunit ribosomal RNA", at positions 26 to 518 of the family's 1533-position model. The record is from RNAcentral.
AGAACGAACGCUGGCGGCACGCCUAACACAUGCAAGUCGAGCGCCCAGCAAUGGGAGCGGCGGACGGGUGAGUAACACGUGGGAACAUGCCUUUCGGUACGGAACAACUGCGGGAAACUGCAGCUAAUGCCGUAUACGCCCUUACGGGGAAAGAUUUAUCGCCGAAAGAUUGGCCCGCGUCUGAUUAGCUAGUUGGUGAGGUAACGGCUCACCAAGGCUUCGAUCAGUAGCUGGUUUGAGAGAACGACCAGCCACAUUGGGACUGAGACACGGCCCAAACUCCUACGGGAGGCAGCAGUGGGGAAUCUUGGACAAUGGGGGAAACCCUGGAUCCAGCGAUGCCGCGUGAGUGAUGAAGGCCUUGGGUUGUAAAACUCUUUCGGACGGGACGAUAAUGACGGUACCCGUAGAAGAAGCUCCGGCUAACUUCGUGCCAGCAGCCGC